GAAAUGCGAUAAGUAAUGUGAAUUGCAGAAUUCAGUGAAUCAUCGAAUCUUUGAACGCACAUUGCGCCCGCCAGCACUCUGGCGGGCAUGCCUGUCCGAGCGUCAUUUCAACCCUCAGGGCCCCUUCCGGGGGACCUGGCGUUGGGGAUCGGCCGCCCACCCGCGGCGGCCGGCCCCGAAAUGCAGUGGCGGUCUCGUCGCGACCUUCUGCGUAGUAGCGAUACCUCGCAGCUGGGGAGCGGCGCGGCCACGCCGUAAAACACCCAACUCUCCAAAGGUUGACCUCGGAUCAGGUAGGAAUACCCGCUGAACUUAA
Molecule: unclassified non-coding RNA, 316 nt
Filed under: uncultured fungus
Lineage: Eukaryota; Fungi
Description: sequence contains ITS1
Rfam family: 5.8S ribosomal RNA (bases 1-105)
Source: RNAcentral